RNAcentral lists this ribosomal RNA (497 nucleotides) under uncultured bacterium. RNAcentral's name for it is "partial 16S ribosomal RNA". It matches the Rfam family "Bacterial small subunit ribosomal RNA", at positions 28 to 507 of the family's 1533-position model. The record is from RNAcentral.
GAUGAACGCUGGCGGCGUGCCUAAUACAUGCAAGUCGAGCGAACAGAUGAGGAGCUUGCUCCUCUGACGUUAGCGGCGGACGGGUGAGUAACACGUGGAUAACCUACCUAUAAGACUGGGAUAACUUCGGGAAACCGGAGCUAAUACCGGAUAAUAUUUUGAACCGCAUGGUUCAAAAGUGAAAGACGGUUUUGCUGUCCCUUAUAGAUGGAUCCGCGCCGCAUUAGCUAGUUGGUAAGGUAACGGCUUACCAAGGCAACGAUGCGUAGCCGACCUGAGAGGGUGAUCGGCCACACUGGAACUGAGACACGGUCCAGACUCCUACGGGAGGCAGCAGUAGGGAAUCUUCCGCAAUGGGCGAAAGCCUGACGGAGCAACGCCGCGUGAGUGAUGAAGGUCUUCGGAUCGUAAAACUCUGUUAUUAGGGAAGAACAAAUGUGUAAGUAACUAUGCACGUCUUGACGGUACCUAAUCAGAAAGCCACGGCUAACUACGUG